GAAGACAAAAUAAAGAGCACAUGUUAGUAACAAUGAUGCUGUCCUCAACAAGCUAUUAUUCUAAAUAUGUGAAAUAGAUGCUAUUGCCGUUCAAAUUAAAUGAAUAGACCAUUUUUUUCAAGCUUUCCAAGGGAAUUGAAGGCAGUGAAGAAAACUUAUACAAGCUAGGAUCACUCCUUAAAAACCAAAAAGAUGUAAUCAAGUCAUCAAGGGAGUUUCGAAAUGCCCCUCCCGCG
RNAcentral lists this long non-coding RNA (236 nucleotides) under Actinidia chinensis (golden kiwifruit). RNAcentral describes it as "long non-coding RNA (ACHI_LNC000824)". Lineage: Eukaryota; Viridiplantae; Streptophyta; Magnoliopsida; Ericales; Actinidiaceae. The record is from RNAcentral.